This is a long non-coding RNA of Pocillopora damicornis (cauliflower coral), 308 nucleotides long. NCBI's taxonomy places the organism in Eukaryota, Metazoa, Cnidaria, Anthozoa, Scleractinia, Pocilloporidae. The record is from RefSeq and is a predicted model, not a curated record.
AAUUACAGCCUUGGAAAAUGAUAUCCUACUGUUUAUGGAUAAACUGGAUAAUUUCUGUGAUAGCUGCCCAACGGACCGUUGCCAAUUUAUUUCAGGUCGAAAUAGCAACCGACUGGAGCGGUUGAAGAAAGUUGGUGGCAUGAUGAAGGAGCGAUACGAUAAAAUUGAAGCCGAGGAACCUGCUAAGGCGUUAUUGACCGCAAGGCAUUAUACAGGUGGAAAAGACUAUCUUGGUGCUCUUGGAUGAAUAAAACAAAUGAUAUCUUUGGAUCUGAUGGCGCUUUUGCUUCUUAGCUGUGUGCUACGUU